Molecule: long non-coding RNA, 1390 nt
Organism: Orcinus orca (killer whale)
Lineage: Eukaryota; Metazoa; Chordata; Mammalia; Artiodactyla; Delphinidae
Exons: 3
Source: RefSeq, a predicted model, not a curated record
UUGUGUUAGAGCAUAAAAAAGUAUCUUGUUUAUGAUAGAGAUGAGAACAGCUCUGGGGACUGGGGACAUAGAGAAGGGUUGCUGUGCCAGGAGGGUUCUUGAGUGGCAAAGCAAUAUGGAAUUGAGGAAGGGUGACAGGACCAGGGUGGCUCAACAUGGACAGAGUGGGUAUGUCCCAGAUAAAGAAGAGCCUCGAGCUAAGCAAAGGAUAUGGGACACAUUCUAGAAUGUAUGGGAAGCCACUGAAGAGUUUUAAGCAGGGGAGGCUUUAUCUAUCGGGGUUCUUAGUUCUGAGCAAUAGAGGCUGACUCUGACUAAGCAGAAGAAGAACACAUUAAAAGGAUACCGGAUAGCUCGGGGAUUCUGGGGAAGUGACUCCAAGUUAAGCUUCCAGGAAUGACGCUCAGAAACACGCUGAAGAACUGGCCUGAUGAGGAAACUCUCAUGACUGGGAUUGCUGCUGCUGCCCUACCCCACCCUGGAGGAAGCUGCUGUCACCACUGCCAGGAACCGCUGAGGAAUGGCGGCCACCUUCAAAUGCCACAUGUUUUGACACCAACAAAAUGCCAAGCGUCCAAAAGAGCCUGUUUCCUUACCUUGCUUACUUCUAAAUCAAAGGCUCAUGGGCUGCAUCUGAUUGAGGGAAGAAACUGAGACCUGGCUGCAAAGGAGGCUGGAAUUUCGGGUCUGAACUCUUUCCUUGAGGAAGUGUGACUUAUAAUAGUCGGAUUUCCCCAAAUGUAGGAAGGCUGCACAAAAGAUGAUAGGAGGCCGUGAGUCUGACAGAGUGUAACCACUAGGAUGGAGGAAGCAAUCCAACCGCAGGAGUGAAGGAGGGUCCUGGAGAACCAGAGCAUCUCCAAGGCACAGCCAAGAUUUAAGGAUGUCACCUUAAUGUCUGCAAGCAACAGGCACUGCAACUUUCAGAGAGUUCAGAAAUUUUUUUUUUUUUCUUUUUUGCGCCACCAGGGAAGCCCUCUUUUUUUUUAAAUGGACCAUUUCAUAGAAUAUUACAAAGGGGUGAUGUCACUCUUCCUUGGGAAUCCAUUCAUUGGUUCUCUGCAGGCUUUUUUUUUAAUUGAAGUAUAAUUGAUUUACAGUGUUGUGCCAUCUCUGCUGCACAGCAAAGCGACUGAGUUAUCCACAUAUAUACAUUCUUUUUUUAUAUUCUAGGGUUUUUUUAAUGUUUUAUUUUAGAACAGUUUUAGAGUUACAGAAUUAUUGUGAAGACUUAUAUACCACAUACCCAAUUUUCCCUAUUAUUAACAUCUUAGAUUAGUAUAACACAUUUGUCACUAUCAAUGGAUUAAUAUAGAUAUCUUUAUUAACUGAAAUUCAUACUUUAUUGAGAUUUUCUCGGGUUUUCCCUAACGUCCUCUCUCUGUUCCAG